GUGCCAGCCGCCGCGGUAAAACGUAGGAGGCAAGCGUUAUCCGGAUUCACUGGGCGUAAAGCGCGUGUAGGUGGUUCGUUAAGUCGCUGGUGAAAGCCCCUGGCUCAACUGGGGGAGGUCUGGCGAAACUGGCGGACUUGAGGGUCCGAGAGGAAGGUGGAAUUCCCGGUGUAGCGGUGGAAUGCGUAGAGAUCGGGAGGAACACCAGUGGCGAAGGCGGCCUUCUGGCGGGCUUCUGACACUGAGACGCGAAAGCGUGGGGAGCAAACGGGAUUAGAAACCCUCGUAGUCC
Molecule: ribosomal RNA, 292 nt
Filed under: uncultured bacterium
Lineage: Bacteria
Description: partial 16S ribosomal RNA
Rfam family: Bacterial small subunit ribosomal RNA
Source: RNAcentral